CGGCGGGGUUAAGAAGGAACCUACACAUUUCAACGCAGCUGGAGUGGAGCCUGAGAAAGUGACAAAGGCACAGCUCGCGUGCGUGGCCGUGGCCGGGGCAUGCCGCGCCUCCGAUCGGGAACCACAAAGAUGUCCAUUAAACAGCGGCCAAUGAAAUACAGAGACGGGGUCCGGAACCUGGGGAAACCUGCCGACUGCGGGUGGCAACUGCCCCUGGAAACUUGUGUAGAGAGACCUGGCCUUCUCCAGGGGGCUGUUUUCCCAGAAGCCCAGGACAGGUCACCUCUGCCAUUACACACCUACAGCUGAAGAAGAGAUGACAUUGACUCACUGCCAGGAAAGCCCGUACCAGAGGUAGAAACAGAAUGAGGGGUGCCCUCGCUGGUUUAGCUCAGUGGAUAGAGCGUCGGCCUGCAGACUGAAGGGUCCUGGGUUCGAUUCCCGUCAAGGGCACAUGCCCGGGUUACGGGCUUGAUCCUCAGUAGGGGGCGUGCAGGAGGCAGCCGAUCAAUGAUUCUCUCUCAUCAUGGAUCUCUCUCUCUCUC
This is a long non-coding RNA of Eptesicus fuscus (big brown bat), 545 nucleotides long. RefSeq lists it as uncharacterized. The transcript is spliced from 3 exons. The record is from RefSeq and is a predicted model, not a curated record. NCBI's taxonomy places the organism in Eukaryota, Metazoa, Chordata, Mammalia, Chiroptera, Vespertilionidae.